Molecule: ribosomal RNA, 253 nt
Filed under: uncultured bacterium
Lineage: Bacteria
Description: partial 16S ribosomal RNA
Rfam family: Bacterial small subunit ribosomal RNA
Source: RNAcentral
UACGGGGGGGGCAAGCGUUGUUCGGAAUUACUGGGCGUAAAGGGCUCGUAGGCGGCCAACUAAGUCAGACGUGAAAUCCCUCGGCUUAACCGGGGAACUGCGUCUGAUACUGGAUGGCUUGGAUUUGGGAGAGGAAUGCGGAAUUCCAGGUGUAGCGGUGAAAUGCGUAGAUAUCUGGAGGAACACCGGUGGCGAAGGCGGCAUUCUGGACCAAUAUUGACGCUGAGGAGCGAAAGCCAGGGGAGCAAACGGG